This 1908-nucleotide long non-coding RNA is filed under the name Scleropages formosus (Asian bonytongue). Its description in RNAcentral is "lncRNA (ENSSFOG00015026550.1)". The record is from RNAcentral. Lineage: Eukaryota; Metazoa; Chordata; Actinopteri; Osteoglossiformes; Osteoglossidae.
UGGUGGUUUCUGAUGUUGCCGUUGUAGUAUUUGUACUACAUGCCUCUGGUAUUCUUGCGGUUGCAGUAGACGGUGCAUCUGAGGACGUACCUGCUGUUGAUGAUCUGACUUCUGUCGUCGAUCCUACCGCAGCAGUGGUAGAGGUUGUUCCAGACAUCGUCGUCACAGCACUUGUUGAUGUUUCUGUUGUAGCUGUUGUAGUUGGAACUCCUGUGGAAGUCGCUGCUGUAGUAGAUGUGACUGCUGUCGUUUCAGCCACUGGAGUUGUUGUGGUCAUUUCAGGCGUGGUCGCUGCAGCACUUGAAGAUGUUUCUGUUGUUGCUGUUGUAGUCGGUGCUUCUGUGGAAGUAGCUGCAGUAGUAGUUGUGAAUUCUGUCGUUGUUUCUGUCACUGGAGUUGUGGUUGUUGCAGAUGUGGUCGUUGCAGCACUUGUAGAUGUUACUGUGGUUGAUGUUGUACUUGGUCCUCCUGUAGAAGUUUCUGUUGUUGCUGAUCUAGUUCCUGGUUCUGUGGAAGUAGGUGCUGUAGUCCUUGCUGUGACUUCUGUCAUCUCAACCAGUGGAGUAGUAGUGGUUGUAUCAGAUGUGGCCAUUGCAGCACUUGUUGAUGUUUCUGUUGUUGCUGUUGUAGUUGGUACUCCUGUGGAAGUAGCUGCUGUCGUAGUUGUGACUACUGUCGUUUCUGCCAGUGGAGUGGAUGUGGUUGUUUCAGACAUCGUCGUUGCAGCACUUGUUGAUGUUUCUGUUGUAGCUGUUGUAGUUGGUACUUCUGCGGAAGUCGCUGCUGUAGUAGCUGUGACUGCUGUCGUUUCAGCCACUGGAGUAGUUGCGGUCAUUUCAGACGUGGUCGUCACAGCACUUGUUGAUGUUUCUGUUGUAGCUGUUGUACUUGGUGCUUCUGUGGAAGAUGCUGCUGUCGUACUUGUGACUUCUGUCGCUGUUCCUGCUACUGCAGUAGUAGAGGUUGUUUCAGAUGUGGUCGUUGCAGGACGUCUAGAUGUCUCUGUUGUUGCUGUUGUAAUUUGUGCUUCUGAGAAAAUAGCUGCUGUAGUAGUUCGGACUUCUGUCCUAGUUUCUGCCACUGGAAUAGUAGUGGUUGCUUCAGAUGUGGUUGUCGCAAAACUUGUAGUAGAUGUUUCUGUUGUUCCAGUUGUAGUGGCUGCAUCUGUAGAACUGGCUGCAGCAGUAGCUAUGACUGCUGUCGUUUCAGCCACUGGAGUACUUGUGGUCAUUUCAGACGUGGUCGUCGCAGCACUUGUAGAUGUUUCUGUUGUUGCAGUUGUACUUGGUGCUUCUGUGGAAGUUGCUGCUGUCGUACUUGUGACUUCCGUCGUUGUUCCUGCCACUGCAGUGGUAGAGGUUGUUUCAGAGAUCGUCGUUGCAGCACUUGUUGAUGUUUCUGUUGUAGCUGUUGUAGUUGGUACUUCUGUGGAAGUCGCUGCUGUCGUAGCUGUGACUGCUGUCGUUUCAGCCAGUGGAGUUGUUGUGGUCAUUUCAGACGUGGUUGUCGCAGCACUUGUAGAUGUUUCUGUUGUUGCAGUUGUACUUGGUGCUUCUGUGGAAGUAGCUGCUGUCGUAGUUGUGACUUCUGUCGUUUCUGCCAGUGGAGUGGAUGUGGUUGUUUCAGACAUCGUCGUUGCAGCACUUGUUGAUGUUUCUGUUGUAGUUGGUACUCCGGUGGAAGUCGCUGCUGUCGUAGCUGUGACUGCUGUCGUUUCAGCCACUGGAGUUGUUGUGGUCAUUUCAGGCAUGGUCGUCGCAGCACUUUUAGAUGUUUCUUUUGUUGCAGUUGUACUUGGUGCUUCUGUGGAAGUUGCUGCUGUAGUAGCUGUGACUGCUGUCGUUUCAGCCACUGGAGUAGUUGUGGUCAUGUCAGACGUGGUCGUUGCAGCACUUGUAGAUGUUUCUG